UACAGAGGUCUCAAGCGUUGUUCGGAUUCAUUGGGCGUAAAGGGUGCGUAGGCGGCGCGGUAAGUCGGAUGUGAAAUCUCGGAGCUUAACUCCGAAACUGCAUUCGAUACUGCCGUGCUUGAGGACUGGAGAGGAGACUGGAAUUUACGGUGUAGCGGUGAAAUGCGUAGAUAUCGUAAGGAAGACCAGUGGCGAAGGCGGGUCUCUGGACAGUUCCUGACGCUGAGGUGCGAAAGCGUGGGGAGCAAACAGG
RNAcentral lists this ribosomal RNA (253 nucleotides) under uncultured bacterium. RNAcentral's name for it is "partial 16S ribosomal RNA". It matches the Rfam family "Bacterial small subunit ribosomal RNA", at positions 524 to 776 of the family's 1533-position model. The record is from RNAcentral.